GACGAACGCUGGCGGCGUGCUUAACACAUGCAAGUCGAACGGUAAGGCCCUUCGGGGUACACGAGUGGCGAACGGGUGAGUAACACGUGGGUGAUCUGCCCUGCACUUCGGGAUAAGCCUGGGAAACUGGGUCUAAUACCGGAUAGGACCACUGCCUGCAUGGGUGGUGGUGGAAAGCUUUUGCGGUGUGGGAUGGGGCCGCGGCCUAUCAGCCUGUUGGUGGGGUGAUGGCCUACCAAGGCGACGACGGGUAGCCGGCCUGAGAGGGUGACCGGCCACACUGGGACUGAGAUACGGCCCAGACUCCUACGGGAGGCAGCAGUGGGGAAUAUUGCACAAUGGGCGCAAGCCUGAUGCAGCGACGCCGCGUGAGGGAUGACGGCCUUCGGGUUGUAAACCUCCUUCAGCACCGACGAAGCGCAAGUGACGGUAGGUGCAGAAGAAGGACCGGCCAACUACGUGCCAGCCGCCGCAGUAA
RNAcentral lists this ribosomal RNA (478 nucleotides) under uncultured bacterium. Its description in RNAcentral is "partial 16S ribosomal RNA". It matches the Rfam family "Bacterial small subunit ribosomal RNA", at positions 28 to 523 of the family's 1533-position model. The record is from RNAcentral.